GAUUAACGCUGGCGGCAUGCCUAAUACAUGCAAGUCGAACGGAAGCAGCAAUGCUUUAGUGGCGAACGGGUGAGUAACACGUAGGGAACCUACCUAUACGACGAGGAUAACUACUGGAAACGGUAGCUAAAACUGGAUAGGAUCAAUUGAGGCAUCUUGAUUGAUUUAAAGAUCCUUCGGGAUUACGUAGAGAUGGCCCUGCGGCGCAUUAGCUAGUUGGUGAGGUAACGGCCCACCAAGGCGACGAUGCGUAGCUGAGCUGAGAGGCUAAACAGCCACACUGGGACUGAGACACGGCCCAGACUCCUACGGGAGGCAGCAGUAGGGAAUUUUCGGCAAUGGGGGAAACCCUGACCGAGCAAUGCCGCGUGAACGAUG
This 378-nucleotide ribosomal RNA is filed under the name uncultured bacterium. RNAcentral's name for it is "bacterial SSU rRNA". It matches the Rfam family "Bacterial small subunit ribosomal RNA", at positions 28 to 410 of the family's 1533-position model. The record is from RNAcentral.